This 163-nucleotide small nuclear RNA is filed under the name Dasypus novemcinctus (nine-banded armadillo). Its description in RNAcentral is "U1 spliceosomal RNA (ENSDNOG00000043670.1)". It matches the Rfam family "U1 spliceosomal RNA". Rfam says of the family: U1 is a small nuclear RNA (snRNA) component of the spliceosome (involved in pre-mRNA splicing). Its 5' end forms complementary base pairs with the 5' splice junction, thus defining the 5' donor site of an intron. Lineage: Eukaryota; Metazoa; Chordata; Mammalia; Cingulata; Dasypodidae. The record is from RNAcentral.
UUACUUACAUGGCAGGGGAGAUACUAUGAUCAUGAAGGUGGUUUCCCAGGUCAAGGCUUAUCCAUUGCACUGGGAAUCUGCUGACCCCCCUGAUUUCCCAAAAGGUGGGAAACUUGACUGCAUAAUUUGUGGUAGUGGGGGACUGUGUUUGUGCUCUCCCCUG